UUGUCGGGGUGGUCAAUCGCUCACAGUUCGUCUGUGGGAGGAAAGUCCGGACUCCAAAGAGCAGGGUGACUCGCUGUAAUGGUGAGUAGGCAUAGGGAAAACCUAUGCGAUGGCAAGUGCCACAGAAAUAAACCGCCUGGCAACAGGUAAGGGUGAAAAGGCGAGGUAAGAGCUCACCGGCGGUAGAAGAAAUUCUCUGCGCAAGGUAAACCCCACCCGGAGCAAACCCAAAUAGGCGAAGAGAUGCUGCUCGCAUCGCGAAAGGACCUCCUUUCAUUGCCCCCUCACCGGGACAAGCAUUCGCGGGUUGGGCGCUUAGUUAAAUGAUUGACACCCGAAAGGGUACAGAACUCGGCUUAUAACCCCGACAAUGAC
RNAcentral lists this RNase P RNA (375 nucleotides) under Kiritimatiellia bacterium. RNAcentral describes it as "Kiritimatiellae bacterium (gut metagenome) RNase P RNA component class A". It matches the Rfam family "Bacterial RNase P class A". Rfam says of the family: Ribonuclease P (RNase P) is a ubiquitous endoribonuclease, found in archaea, bacteria and eukarya as well as chloroplasts and mitochondria. Its best characterised activity is the generation of mature 5'-ends of tRNAs by cleaving the 5'-leader elements of precursor-tRNAs. Cellular RNase Ps are ribonucleoproteins. Lineage: Bacteria; Pseudomonadati; Kiritimatiellota; Kiritimatiellia. The record is from RNAcentral.